RNAcentral lists this long non-coding RNA (1033 nucleotides) under Homo sapiens (human). RNAcentral's name for it is "HSALNT0322221". The record is from RNAcentral. Lineage: Eukaryota; Metazoa; Chordata; Mammalia; Primates; Hominidae.
GGAAACCCGAUCCUCAAACCAAGGACAGCUUAAAGCCUGAGAUCCAAGCUGCCAGUUCCAGACAGAGUCCACAGCUGCAGUGAGAACUAUCCCUGUCUUACCCACUCUCUCUCAAUUGGUUCCUUCUGAAUGAUGCCCUUUAACCAAUCCAAUGGUGCUUUUUCCAAUACCACCCAUGGACCAAUCAGCAUGCACUUCCCCAUUCUAAGCCCAUAAAACCCCCAGGACUCAGCCUCACAGAUGGCUAACCGGCUUUCAGGUCCCCUCUGGCAGCUGGGAGUUUUCCUUCUAUAGCUCAAAAUUCUUUUCUGCCUUAUUUACUUUCUGGUGUCGACAUAUCUUAUUCCUUUGUUGCAGGACAAGAACUUGGAACUUGCUGAGCUGGGGAUGGUGGGAGUAAAAGAGUUGUAACCUUCCCUUCUGCUCCCCAAACAAUGUGAGAGAAGAAACCAUUGGACGCCACUCUCUCCUGUUAGCCCAACUGCCAGAGCGAAAAAGUUGUGACGUCACUGGCUUACCCAGCAAGCUAACUGUGGGAGGUGGGAGUAAAAGAGCUGUAACCUUCUCUCCCACUCGAGGAACUACCCUCCUGCUUGACAAAUUACAGGAGCGAAAAAGCCACGUAUCAGAGGAGACUUCAGGAAAAUUAAGCCUGACAGUCUCUCCAAACAACUUUGUGCACAUAUUAAGUAAAGGAGGAGGUACUGCUUACACCUAAAACCUAAUCUCAGAUGAAUUAUGGAGUGAAUAUAACUACUACUGAGCUAAAUGUUAAAAACAAAUGUGUAAGAUCUCAUAAAGACAAUACAUGCAAUAUUUCAUUUACACAUUACGUUUAUUAUUUAUGUGUGCAUCUAAUAUCUAACUGCUAAUCUCAGCUUUACCACAAUAUCUAAAAUAAGAGGUAAUUCUUUCAUCAUCUUGACCUUUUGGACAGUUUACCAUAAUCAUACACGAAAGAUUCAGUAAACUAUUUAGAUUUUCAGAAAAAGUAGUCAUAGAAUACAAAGCGGCAUUAACUAUCCAAGAGUAU